Molecule: long non-coding RNA, 400 nt
Filed under: Androctonus crassicauda
Lineage: Eukaryota; Metazoa; Arthropoda; Arachnida; Scorpiones; Buthidae
Source: RNAcentral
UGCCCCAGGGCCGAUCCUAGCGGGGGGCAUGGUGGUGGGCGGCCAAAUUUAAGGGCGGCGAAAUUAUUACGAACCAACGUAGGAAGGUUUAUAAAAAGGGCGGUCAAUUUUAAUUUGCACGUGGGCGGCCGAUUAUCUAGGAUCGGCACUGGGCUGUCCACCCCUGUAAAAGGGUCAGCCGGAUGAUGGAAGACGGGGAUGGACAGGCCGAGCCUGGAUCCCAUGAUAAAUAUUUUCAAAGGGUGGGAUCCGAGAUUCGAACCGGGUCCUCCAGAGCGUUUCCACGCGGCCAAUCCGGCCGACUUACCGGACCUUCUGGCCACUCCAGCCGAUGUCUAUCCAGACCUCGGGUUGGUUACAGCUGGACACCCAGCCAAUUUUACCACCAAACAAAUUCCAC